CAGCAGCCGCGGGAAUACGUAGGUGGCAAGCGUCGUCCGGAAUUAUUGGGCGUAAACGGCUCGCAGGCGGUUUCUUAAGUCUGAUGUGAAAGCCCCCGGCUCAACCGGGGAGGGUCAUUGGAAACUGGGAAACUUGAGUGCAGAAGAGGAGGGUGGAAUUCCACGUGUAGCGGUGAAAUGCGUAGAGAUGUGGAGGAACACCAGUGGCGAAGGCGACCCUCUGGUCUGUAACUGACGCUGAGGAGCGAAAGCGUGGGGAGCGAACAGGAUUAGAUACCCGUGUAGUCCCUGUCUCUUAUAC
This 301-nucleotide ribosomal RNA is filed under the name uncultured bacterium. Its description in RNAcentral is "partial 16S ribosomal RNA". It matches the Rfam family "Bacterial small subunit ribosomal RNA", at positions 509 to 807 of the family's 1533-position model. The record is from RNAcentral.